Molecule: long non-coding RNA, 364 nt
Filed under: Vigna radiata
Lineage: Eukaryota; Viridiplantae; Streptophyta; Magnoliopsida; Fabales; Fabaceae
Description: long non-coding RNA (VRAD_LNC001137)
Source: RNAcentral
GGUUCUCAUCUGUGCUUAAUGCCUUUAUCGUUUAACUCAUUCGAUAACUGAUGUUUGUCUUUAUUGAUACGGGGACGUACAAUAAUGUCAUGAACUGGUGAGUAAUUUCUUGAUUAUGCAUUAUCACCUAGGGAUAGGGGUAUGACAAUCAAUUGCGUUUAACUUCUGCUCUAUAAUGCUGUAUUAAUUGCUAGGGGAGGCUAGGGAUAGCAAGCCAGUAAUUAGUAUUAGGCUCUUUUCGCCGAGGGAUCGGGUUAAGGGUAGGCUAAGAAAGUUGCAUGACAAUUAAUUAAUCAAGCUAAUAAUUCAAGAGGAGUAGAUAAGACAGAGUGGAUAAAGAUGAAAUUGUAAACCCCCAACAACU